CUUGUAAAAUAUCCAUCUUCAUCAUUCUCUAUCUCCUCCCUGAUCUUGAAUCCUUUGUGGCUUCUUCCCAUGAAUCCCAUCUCUGAUCUCCAAGUGCUCAACCUGAUGUGAUUAUUAGAAGAGUUUGAAACUCUCAGUUGACUGCACGGAAACCUCUGGAUUGUCUGUUGAAACUUGUUGGUCAUUAAGCAACAGGAUAAUGGACUGAAGUUGUGACAAUUAAUUUAUUAAAGCCAUAAAUUUUGUAUUGUUUUGCUUCA
Molecule: long non-coding RNA, 260 nt
Organism: Dioscorea cayenensis subsp. rotundata (Guinea yam)
Lineage: Eukaryota; Viridiplantae; Streptophyta; Magnoliopsida; Dioscoreales; Dioscoreaceae
Exons: 2
Source: RefSeq, a predicted model, not a curated record